Molecule: small RNA, 1157 nt
Filed under: Caenorhabditis elegans
Lineage: Eukaryota; Metazoa; Nematoda; Chromadorea; Rhabditida; Rhabditidae
Description: Unclassified non-coding RNA Y95B8A.20
Source: RNAcentral
GACACGUGUAUCAAAGAGGACCAGGCGAUUUUGGAGAAGGAAAAUGUGAACUCGCCACGCCAAUUUCUUUUUAUCGAUGACGGACAAUCGCCAAAGUGGAGGGAAAAUGAUCUCGAAGGAAAAGGAAUUCUUAUGAGCUUCGGAAAUCGAUUGAAGAAUCUGACAAACGGAUAUGAGACUGUGAGACUUUUUUUACGGGUCUCGACGCGAUUUCCCACGGAUUUCGGGCUUCCCUCAUAAAUUGAAAUGGAAGAGUUUUUGCCGAACUAGGCCCCGGCCAUAUCUGGGGUAGAUUUACGGCGCGUUGCGUGUCGCGUCGCGGCUCGAUUUUAGUUGUAAAACUGAAUGUAUUUGUCCGUGUGGAGUACACGGGCGAUUGCCAAUGGAGCGCGAAAAAUUCAAUUUGUGUCUCGUAACGAUUUUAUCGAUUCUUUUUCAGGGUGCCGAACAAGCUCUGCGUGUCCUUGAAUUCAACAAUACGGAACACUUUCUUGUGAUCAAUUUUUGGAUGAGAAGCUACUAUUUCAUGAAAAACGGUGAUAAAUAUCAGCUGUCAUACACCGGAACCACCAUCAAACCCGAUUUGAAUCACUUUAUUCGGUUAGCAGGCUUGGAGAUGCAAUAUCGCUCCAUCGCAACCAUUUUUUCAGCGUAUACUUCAUCUGCGCUCCAGCGAACAGUCAGAGUGCGUUGAUCGUGUUUGGGGAUCAGUCGAAACCGCGAGUUUUAAAGUCGAAAAAAUCGAAGAGGGAAGCAGCGCUGAUUGAUGAGAAUUCGGGGAAGAAGCUGAAAAAGUGCCAGAAAAUUCGGACGAAAAGAGCGGCGGCGGUGAAUAACUCGACGGAGUGGACACAGACGCUGAAGGAUACUCGGAGACUUAAACAACGUAGCGAGUGAGUUUGUGCCAAACGAUACUCCGAUGUUCCGCUUCCGCUGAGGACACCGCGUCGUUUGAUCUCUGAAAAUUGCGAGAGUCAGCCUCGUGUAAGUUUACCGCAAAUUUGGAGGUCAAGCAGCGAGGUCCUCAUAUUUUGAAAUGGAAGAGCUUGCCGAAUUCGGAGUCGAUUUACGGCGCGUUGCGUUGCGUGUCGCGUCGCGGCUCGUGAUUUUCGCAUAUUUAUCGACACUUGCGUACGCCAGGUAUCGAUUCAGAUUCC